Molecule: transfer RNA, 71 nt
Filed under: Anhinga anhinga (American anhinga)
Lineage: Eukaryota; Metazoa; Chordata; Aves; Suliformes; Anhingidae
Description: tRNA-Val
Source: RNAcentral
CAGGGCGUAGCUAUAACAAAAGCACUCAGCUUACACCUGAAAGAUAUCUGCCAUCCAUCAGAUCGCCUUGA